Molecule: ribosomal RNA, 813 nt
Filed under: uncultured Alphaproteobacteria bacterium
Lineage: Bacteria; Pseudomonadati; Pseudomonadota; Alphaproteobacteria
Description: bacterial SSU rRNA
Rfam family: Bacterial small subunit ribosomal RNA
Source: RNAcentral
AUCCGCAGCUUCGGUUGCGGUGAAAGUGGCAAACGGGUGAGUAACGCGUGGGAACCUGCCCAGAGGUAGGGAAUAACCGCGGGAAACUGCGGCUAAUACCCUAUGUGUCCUGAGGGACAAAGAUUUAUCGCCUUUGGAGGGGCCUGCGUCGGAUUAGGUAGUUGGUGGGGUAACGGCCUACCAAGCCAUCGAUCCGUAGCUGGUCUGAGAGGAUGAUCAGCCACACUGGGACUGAGAUACGGCCCAGACUCCUACGGGAGGCAGCAGUGGGGAAUAUUGGACAAUGGGGGCAACCCUGAUCCAGCAAUGCCGCGUGAGUGAUGAAGGCCUUCGGGUUGUAAAGCUCUUUCGGCGGGGAAGAUGAUGACGGUACCCGCAGAAGAAGCCCCGGCUAACUUCGUGCCAGCAGCCGCGGUAAUACGAAGGGGGCUAGCGUUGUUCGGAAUUACUGGGCGUAAAGGGCGCGUAGGCGGUGCUGUAAGUCAGGCGUGAAAUCCCCGGGCUCAACCUGGGAAUUGCGCAUGAUACUGCGGCGCUGGAAUGCGGGAGAGGAUGGCGGAAUUCCCAGUGUAGAGGUGAAAUUCGUAGAUAUUGGGAAGAACACCGGUGGCGAAGGCGGCCAUCUGGCCCGUGAUUGACGCUGAGGCGCGAAAGCGUGGGGAGCAAACAGGAUUAGAUACCCUGGUAGUCCACGCCGUAAACGAUGAGUGCUAGACGUCGGGGAGCUUGCUCUUCGGUGUCGCCGCUAACGCAUUAAGCACUCCGCCUGGGGAGUACGGUCGCAAGAUUAAAACUCAAAGGAAUUGACGGGGG